Molecule: ribosomal RNA, 440 nt
Filed under: uncultured Campylobacter sp.
Lineage: Bacteria; Pseudomonadati; Campylobacterota; Epsilonproteobacteria; Campylobacterales; Campylobacteraceae
Description: bacterial SSU rRNA
Rfam family: Bacterial small subunit ribosomal RNA
Source: RNAcentral
CUACGGGGGGCAGCAGUAGGGAAUAUUGCUCAAUGGGGGAAACCCUGAAGCAGCAACGCCGCGUGGAGGAUGACACUUUUCGGAGCGUAAACUCCUUUUCUUGGGGAAGAAAUUUGACGGUACCCAAGGAAUAAGCACCGGCUAACUCCGUGCCAGCAGCCGCGGUAAUACGGAGGGUGCAAGCGUUACUCGGAAUCACUGGGCGUAAAGGACGCGUAGGCGGAUUAUCAAGUCUCUUGUGAAAUCCAAUGGCUUAACCAUUGAACUGCUUGAGAAACUGAUAAUCUAGAGUGAGGGAGAGGCAGAUGGAAUUGGUGGUGUAGGGGUAAAAUCCGUAGAGAUCACCAGGAAUACCCAUUGCGAAGGCGAUCUGCUGGAACUCAACUGACGCUAAUGCGUGAAAGCGUGGGGAGCAAACAGGAUUAGAUACCCCGGUAGUC